Molecule: long non-coding RNA, 268 nt
Filed under: Selaginella moellendorffii
Lineage: Eukaryota; Viridiplantae; Streptophyta; Lycopodiopsida; Selaginellales; Selaginellaceae
Description: long non-coding RNA (SMOE_LNC002386)
Source: RNAcentral
GAGGCUGGAACCAAGAGAAAAAAAAGAAAUUUUCGUCCCUGUACUUCUCACCCACGAGCAGCAGAGAUUGAUGAGGUCCUCACUUUGGAGCCAUUUCUGAGUGGUUCAACGUGGUGGCAGUGAUCCAGAGCAGCAGCUCUAGAAGUGGUAAUGAUGACCAUGCGUUUCUCUACAGGGACACGGUGCUGUACAAAUCCAAUUACUAUUAGCAUCACACGUCUGAGGACAAAUUAAGUGAAGUGGUGCCAGAUUCAAUUGUAUUUGUGUU